This is a long non-coding RNA of Mus musculus (house mouse), 7754 nucleotides long. RefSeq annotates it as predicted gene, 32715. The record is from RefSeq and is a predicted model, not a curated record. The transcript is spliced from 3 exons. Lineage: Eukaryota; Metazoa; Chordata; Mammalia; Rodentia; Muridae.
GUAUUGACAGAGGAGAGAAAGAAGGGGCUGGGGACACAGGGCCUCGGAACCAGGGACAGUCUAUGCCUUGGGGUAGGCAGCCCCAGCAACAGGGUGACUGGAAUACACCAAGUCAGGAAGUUUGGUGGCUCAACCUCCAACUGUUCCCCCAAGGUCUAAGGUUGCUUUCAAUGGCUCCAGCUCCAGACAACGCUCACAGGCUGCUACCAACCCUCCUGGCUACAGUUUCCUGAGUAACCCUGACUCAGUCACUGUCCUGACCCUAUUAUGAGCUGGGACUGGAGGCUGCAUCAGGGGCCUGCCCAGCCCUUGCACAAGCAGACUGGGACAGCCGGGGCUGCGCACAGCACCAUUUACAGCUGAACAUGCCAGCUAGUCUGCCAGGUUCCCACAGUCACAGGAAAGCCAUCUUAAGGGUCCAUCUGUGCCCCAUACCAGAAAAUAAGGAACUUGGGACUCACACGAAUAUGCUGCACCCAUCCAGAGCAGGGAGGGCCACUGUACAUCAAAGAAUAGCCUUGCUGAUGCUGUUAUAAGAACAAGCCCAGCCCAGUCCUUUCAUACCCCCACAUUAAGACCUCUUCCCGAGGCCAGACACAGACAUGGCCACCCUUCUAUAGCAGCUUCUCUUCAGACAGCCAGAGCACUCUAUGCCCUUGCAUCUGUGUGAGCCAUAGCUGGGGCAGGGCUCCUGGGACUGCAGUCUGCUUCAGACCCUCUCCUAUUGGGUGAUUUACUGCUUCCUGCCAUCUCCAGGUGCUCUCGCCCCACUCCUACCCACUAAGCAGCUUGUCACCAGUUCCACACUGAUGACCCUAGCAACCCUGGCCCUGUUCCAGGUGGCACACAUCACGAUGCCUCUAGCAAGGUGAGCCUUCCGCAGUCCUGCAGCUUUCCAUGCGUCCUGAGGAGCUGCCAGCCUAUCUUUCUUCCCCUGAGUCCAGCAGGCAGUCUGGCUGGGGGACCCUGGGAGGAGAUCCUGGGACGGGACCACAGGCCACAAAAGCUCGCUCUGCAGCCUUUAGCUGGGUGCCUGCUCUCUCUGGAAGCUCUGAGGAUUGCCUACUGAAGCCAGAACUUGAGCAAUGAAGACCCUGAAGAAUGAUCGAGAACCACAGACUGCUCACCAGGAGAAGACAUAAAGCAGGAAACAGUGGGUAAGACUGCAGCAUAUGCAACAGUGUAGAAGAGAACGUGGUGAGGAGGGAAGGCUUUAGACCACAGUCUGACUGUCCUAGACAGUGCCCAUGGCCUGCCUGCAGAGCAGGACCCUAUGGCCAGGGCCAAGGCCCAGCCAGCACCGACCCCUGGGCUAGACAAAGAACCCCUGAACUCGUCAGGAAUGGAAGGUGGCAGGCUGCCUGGCACAGCCAAUGUGUGCUGAGGCUGCAGCUGGUUCCAGAAGAUACCACAGAUUCUGCAAUAUUUCAAAGCCAUCAGGAUCCUAACAGCAGUGUCUACAGGUCAAGGCAGCAGAACUCACAGGCAAAGAAGAGUUAGAAUCUGCAGUGUGCACAUUAAGCACAGACUGGCCCAGAGGAAUGAGCUGCCACGUGCUUCCCAACCUGGAGCCAAGCUUGGACAGCCCACCUGGACCAGCUUGCAAUUCUGCAUACAGAGGUUAGGGAGUCCAUGGCGCCCACCUCCCUACACAGGCUACCUUGUCUUACUUUGUGAACAGAUGGCAUCCUGCAGCCAUCACUCUGCGUCCUGCUGCAGCCAUGGAGUCACUCUGCAGCCUAAGGUAAUGUAGAAUACCUCCUCGAGCUGUGUGGCGGUCCAGAGCUUAGUGUGGCUGCACAUGGCACAGACACCUUUAAUGUGCUUCUGUGUAAGAGACCCCACCUGUGUUGACAGCAGCACCUGCUUCCUUGGGUGGCCCUCACUCCUAGGUACUGGUACUCCUCAAAGUAUGUGACCUACUCCUGCCUGUCUGUGUCACUAUCCACUUCCCUACACAGAUCCUGAUGGAGACCAAUUGUCCAUCUCAGAUCCUUCUACGUCACUGACUAUCAGGAGCCUAGCCAGGUCAAUGAGAUCCUCAGAGACACGAAGGUGACAUGUCGUUCAAGGCUACCCAAGUCACAGAAGUGCUUGUCUAAUGAAGUUGAAACACUGGAGUGUGGCUGGCAAACACGGGACAAAGGCCCCAUACUUCCCUUGUGGUGCUGGACCAGGGCUCUGUGCCUAGCUAAACCUUGCCCCAAUGCCCCUGGGCCCAGGGUCAUCCCCAUUAACAGACUGUGCCUGUAUACCAUGCAUUUCUAGAGAUUGAAGACUGCUGGGAGGUGUCUCAUUUGUAGUAGGGUGCAUACAUGCUUAUUCCAGCUCUGCUGAGAGUUGCAAGCCCUUGACUUCCUGGCUCCUUUAGGGCUGUGUCAGGCACAAAGGUUCUGCCUCAAUUGCGACCCUGUCCCUGGGGCUCCCACACUUUGAAUCUGUUCCCUCUGCCUCACUCAGAGUCAGGCUGGGUGCACAGCAGUGAGGCCACCUGGGUUCCCAGGAUCUUCUGUGAGCUCUGAGCUCUGGUUGGAGGCUGUGUUCUUUUGACAGGCUUGGUUACACCAGAACCCGCUCAUGCGAAACAGUGAGCUGGGGGAGGCAAUAGCUGGAGAGGAGAUGAUUAAAACACAGCUCAAUAAAACCACCAAACCGGAUAGCAUGUUACUGCAGGGACUCUCCUGCUCUCACCAGUGUGGCAGGGACAACUCUCAGUCAUGGCAUAGGAACCAGGGCGGAACACAGCCUGUUGCUGGAGCGGCUAGAAUUUGGUAAGGGUAGGGCAUGUCCUAGAGGGGACAACAACAUUGUCCCCAGCUCACCAACAUGGUCACCCAUGGCUGGACAUAUUCAGAUAUGACUGCCCCUACACCCAGGUCUGCACCACAUCCCUUCUAUGUAGACGUGACCAGGCCUGGGGUCUAGGAGCCAGGGUAGGGGCACACUACAGGCUGCAGGAGGGGUGCUGAUCAACCCUGCUGACCUGAUGAAGACUGGGCCACAGUGGGUCCUCUGGAUGCCUGGCUCAGGCCUGGUUUGUCAGUUCUUAAAAGUGGACCUUGCUAAACCACAGUACCAUACCAGCUGGCUGUGGCUAUGCACACCCUUUUUCAAUGCUACCAUAGCUUUCCAUGUCAGAAAUACCUUUUAAAAAGGCUGACCUCAAACUUGGGGCAAUCUUCCUGUCUCGGCGUCCUGAGUGUUAGGGUGACAGAAGUGCACCAGUCCCAUAGCAGAGGAAGGCAAGCUCAAUGAUUGAAGGGACAUUUUUGAAGAGCCAUCUGUUUGAGGGAGACACUCUGGCCCACUAAGGGUUACAGCACAGAACUCUAGCUGCGGCUUGGCCCAUUUCUGCUACGAUUGCCAGCGCUGCAACGGCAGCCAGUUCAUUAGGGAGCCAGAGGGACUGUGCACAGGAUGAUUAGGCGCCAGCUCACAGUGCUGCCUGGUGGGGCCUGUGCCCCUCAGCAGUCUCUGGUGUCAUGAUGCCCCUUGUGUGGCACUGUACCCAUGACAACACCCACCUCACCCCUCUUGGCACAGAGGCCACUUGUCCUGAGUGGCAGGGAGCUGGCAGCACUAGACUGUCUUCUCCCCUGACGGUGCUCUUUGUCUGGGUCCUGUCAGUCCCUGCUUUGUGCAAACCUCAGUGUGACCAUCAUGGCCUUCUGGGGCAGCCCACAACUUCCCAGCACCCCUUACCAUGGGAACCCCUGGAGCCCCAGUUUACUCAUAGGGAAAUUGGGACAAGAUUGUAAUGCACAGGCUACAUAAUGUGGGGUGUCCAUGAUGUACUCUUCACUUAACCUACUGGGGAGUCAGUGGCAGGGGGCAGGGGGUUAUCAGCAUGUACCUCCUCCACCAAAGACCUUACAUGAUACUUAAGAACACUGUUGCCACCAGGGCUGUUGGGGCUUCUGACAUGGGGUACAAGGCUAGGAUACCCCACAGAGAACGCCAAGACCAUGUAUUGUGCUGGGGAACUCAUGCUAGGCUACCUUUCUAGAUCUUCCCUCUACCUAACAGUGGCCAGCUGUACCACAAGAAGGCUGUGUCAGCCUUACACAGGACCCUCUGUGCUCCCACUGGCCUUCUGGGACUCAUAGCGCAGAAGUCAUGAGACAGGGAUGGAGGAGGAACACACUUCACAAUAGCCAUCAUGUGCAUACAGCCCUGCCACAGCAUAGAUCAGGGGCCAGUGGAGCAAAUGACCAGCUGGUGGCACGACCUCAGACCCUGUGACUGCAGUUUCAGGCCAGCCUUAUGCCUCUCAGCCUGCAACUAACUGUCACCCACAGCAGGAAACAAGGCUGCCAGUUCUUACCUGGUCAUUAAUCUGUGCUGAGGGCCUGCUGCUACCAGUCUACCACAAGGGCAUGACGAUAUGCAAAGAGGAGGCUACCUCCAGACUUUCCCUCCAACUCCAGUGUCGUAUUUCUGGGAAGACUGGCAUCUGGCCACAGAAAUGGCAAGGGGACAGAGAAGCUGCUGAACGUGCAGCUAGAGCCAGGCUCUCAAUCACACCCUGGUCUCACCACAGCUCAGCCUGGUGGGGUCGUGAUGAGACCCUUCCCUGCAGUGUGGACCAGGGCUGAGCUUCCCACACUGUGUGUGUGGCCUGUGACUUGCAAAGGCUGAUGCAGCAGCCAGUGACAGGCAGGGCUGUACAGGAGGCGCCCCCUCGCUAAGAGAACCCCUUUGAUCUAGUUAGUGACCUGUGGAGAAUUGCUCCAGCCUGUGAAAAGCAGGCUGGUGGGCAGGCAGGCAGACUGUGCCUCGAGCCUGCCCAUGUUAUCACACCUGGAAAACUCUUAAGAAGGAAGGGCUGACCUGGUGCAUUCCCAGAAGCUCACACCACAUCUGCACAUAGGUCUACUGAACAGGCCAGGAACCUGGAGGGUAUGCUGGACAUGGCACCUGCUGGGUACCAUUGGCAAAGUUGCUUGGCCUCUCUGUUCCUGUCUGUCAGCCCAGAGUUACCAUUCCAUGGAGGGUGCUGACUUCACAGAGCAAGGAAUGAACCAUGUCUACGGGGAUCAUGUGGGAAUGCCUGACUGCCUGAGACUUAAGAGAGUGUUCACCCUAGCUAGCCCCAAGCUCAUUCACGGCCCUUGCUAUACAUGUGGGAUGGAAAGUGACACAGCUGGGUGGCUGAAUUUUCUGGAUUUCUCAUCUCUGAUUCUUUUGCUUCUGAGAUAGGAUCAUGCCCUGUAGCCUAGGCUGUGACCAACCUUGCAGCAAUCCUGCCUUAGCUUCUUGGAUGCUGAGAUUCCAUGUGUGCACCACGCACAGCUCAGGAAACUCUGGAAGGACAAAUGUUGUCAAGAGAGGAGAAGAGCCCAUGAGGGGCCCAAGCCCGACACAGGUCUGUGGGGCUUUGUUUUGUUUUGUUUUGAGGUAACCCAGGCUGCCCUCAAACUCAAGGAUGCCUGUAACCAAAGAUGGUUCUGAACUCCUGAUCCUCCUGCCAUUUGGUUAGCCUUAACUCUCAUCUCAAAACUGAACCAACAAGACCGUUGGCAACAACGGAUGCUGCACAUGGACAAGACACUCACAUGAGCAAGGCCACUCUCAACUGCCCUACUGUGAUCACAGAAGGAAAAGCCAGAAGAGGGGGUGAGAGAAGCUAGCAUGAGCAUCUCAGGUGUCCUUAUCUCUCUACACAACCAAAUUAGAAAAGGACACUCCCUUCCCAAUCAAAAGUGGGACCUGAGGCUCACGGCCCAUAAUCUGCUCUUUAACUGCGGUCACUUCUCCCUGCCAGUAAAGACAGAACAAAUCCCAAGAGAGAACUCUUUUAAUGGCUGUGUAAUAUUCCCUUAGCACAUGUUACUUUACUGGGGAGGUCUGUGAGACUAUACUGCACCUGUCCCAAAAAGAUAGUGGCCAAGGUCAAAGGUCAAAACAGACAUGGCUCAUAAGACAGCCUUCUGCAAAGGGUCCAUGAGUUACUGCAGUUGACCUGAGGAUUCUGGGGUCUGUGCCCUGGGGUGACCUAGAUGCCCCAGUACCACAUCUCUCCCCUGAGCUGAGCCUCCCACAAAGUCUAUGCUCACAUGUGAACAAUCUAGAAAAAUUCCUGUACCCUAUAGCAUCUUGCCUCCCUAGAGAUUCUGGUGACUUCAGUAUGGGCUGUUUCCUGGCCCAGAGGUCAGCCUGUAGCUCCAGUGCAUUUGAGUUCUGCCUCCCACUGCCAGGGCCAGAGGUAUGCUGGCUCAGCUGGAUGCCUGGUCUCUUAUGAAGGAGGCGGUGUAGGCGUGGGGAUGCAUGCACACAGUGCUGGCUAGGGCUAAUGUUCUCACCUCCACAGCCAGCAAGUACCUUCCUGGGAGACUCAAGGAGUGCCAGGCUGCAGAGAGGACCUAGCUUGGCACUGUGUGACUCUAUGCUGGUGGCUCCUCUGUUCCUUAGGGACAUGCAGGUGGAACUCCAGUGCCUACCAUUUACUGUGGGCUCCUCUGCACCCUCUUCAGCCAUUAAAAAUGCAAAAUACCACCUGUUCUGCCCUGGUCAGAGAGGAGUAGGGCUUGCAGCUCCCUGAUACUGCUGUGGACUUGGGAGGGCAGGUGAGGUCCCAGGGGAACGGAGAGAAGCCAAAAAGGACACAGCCUAUGCAUGCAGGCUGGGGAGGAUGGUGCGGAAUUGUGACCACCAUGUGGGAGCAGCUGGCGGGGAAGAGAAAGACAGGCACUCACCCCGGGACUCAGACCCCAUCUUGCCUUGCAUGGCAUGGCACCCCUCACAGCUUCUCUGUCCACACCAGGAGGGAGCAGCAAUCCUGGACCCCAGUUCCCACCAUGAGGCCCCACCCUCAGCUGGCCAUGCACCCCCCUGGCUGGUGGGCACACCUGGGAGAGCGCUGUGCUGGCCACUCUGCCCUUUCACUGGCUGGUCUAUGAUGCCUCGGACCACUUGUCACCUAAUUUGACACUUUGCUGUCUGACUGUGGAGAAUGGUGCCAUCAUGGACCACGAUCCACAAAUGUUGCUUGUUUGUGAACAUGUGGCUGAGACUGAAAUUGCUUUUACUGUCUGGGCAGUUCCUGUCAUGGCUGCGGCUGAAACAGCCCUGCCUUCACAGCUCAAUUUGCAGGUGCCAGCCCUACCAGCUCUAGCCAUGCAAGGUGUCUACUCAAUCAAAACUGGACACGGGUCUCAACCCUGGCUCAUGCCACCUUCCCACGUCAUGCCAGACUUGGUGUUUCGUUUAGACUGAAGACAGGCCCCAACAACAGUGGAUCACCAGGCCCAUACUACAUCCUUAGUGAGUUAGCCCAGAGCUUCAUGGCUCUGUAUCAUGUCCAGUCACAAAAGGAGACAACUGCCCCAGGCAGCAGAGUGAGGGCAGCAAGCAAGAAGCAAGGGGCUGAGGGAGACCAGGAAUGGCCCAGUAGACAAAGCAGGCAACGAUCUGAAUUCCCACCUUCUGAACCCACAUAAAGGUGGGUGUGCUAGUCGUGAAUGGAAGUGAGAUGGGAGGCUGAUGGGGCACCCCAGAAGCCAUAGGCAGGAGACCAUGCCUCACAUAGGAAGAUGACAUGUGGGUUACAUGUGCACACAGGUGCACAUGAAUACACAUGAGUAGUAGCAACACUAAUAAAAAGGUAAAUGGUGACCCAGGCCUGGGCAUGGCCAUCCUGUGGGCCCAUCAUUAGGAAGGCCAAGGCAGGAUCAGGCAAGUUCAUGCUUGAUGUCUCAAAAACUGAAAUGGAACUAGUAAAUAACUUGGCUCAACAACAAAGGCCAGCUCCCCUG